This 68-nucleotide transfer RNA is filed under the name Stenotrophomonas sp. Its description in RNAcentral is "tRNA-Leu". It matches the Rfam family "tRNA". From Rfam's summary of the family: Transfer RNA (tRNA) molecules are approximately 80 nucleotides in length. Their secondary structure includes four short double-helical elements and three loops (D, anti-codon, and T loops). Further hydrogen bonds mediate the characteristic L-shaped molecular structure. tRNAs have two regions of fundamental functional importance: the anti-codon, which is responsible for specific mRNA codon recognition, and the 3' end, to which the tRNAs corresponding amino acid is attached (by aminoacyl-tRNA synthetases). tRNAs cope with the degeneracy of the genetic code in two manners: having more than one tRNA (with a specific anti-codon) for a particular amino acid; and 'wobble' base-pairing, i.e. permitting non-standard base-pairing at the 3rd anti-codon position. The record is from RNAcentral. Lineage: Bacteria; Pseudomonadati; Pseudomonadota; Gammaproteobacteria; Lysobacterales; Lysobacteraceae.
UGCGGGGUGGAGCAGUNNUCGGGCUCAUAACCCGAAGGUCGCAGGUUCAAAUCCUGCCCCCGCUACCA